GAUUUGUUACUGUGAUUGGUUUAAUAAAUAAGCGGACUGGCCUAUAACUGAAGAGGAUAAAGUUAGGUGGGACAGCCAAACUGAGAAUGAUGCGAUGAAGAAAGGUGGAGUCAGAGAAGCUGCCAGCCAGAUGGAGAAUGACUCGGACAUACAAAAUGGGAAAGAGAUGGGGUAAGAUGAGAAAUAUAAAAGGAACUUGGAAGAAGAACAUAUUGCAGUUCUCAAGAAGACAGACAUGCUAAACUGCCCAAGGACACAGGAGGAAGCACCUAGGAAGAUGGUGACACCACAGUCUUCAGUGCUCAGACUUCCAGAUGACAGUGUAACAGAGACUGGUGUUCAUAGAGAGGCGAGAAAGACCCCAGAUUCCUGCCUCUCCAAAGCCCAGCCUCUGCGGCGGCGUAUUUCUAUUUCAUGCUGGUAGAAUGAAGCUAAUUGCAAAUUCUCAGCUGCUGUGAUUCCAAUCUCCAGACUUGUGCUCAAGUUAAAAGAAGAACGAGAGAUGAAGAAAUCUCCACACAAGGGGCUUUUCAAAUCUCUGCUGGAGUCAGGUCAACCAACAUCACUUUGACCAUGUCAAAUUGCUUACCUGAACUCAAAAUCAAGGG
Alexandromys fortis (reed vole) is the source of this 608-nucleotide long non-coding RNA. RefSeq lists it as uncharacterized. The record is from RefSeq and is a predicted model, not a curated record. Lineage: Eukaryota; Metazoa; Chordata; Mammalia; Rodentia; Cricetidae. The transcript has 4 exons.